Etheostoma cragini (Arkansas darter) is the source of this 464-nucleotide long non-coding RNA. RefSeq lists it as uncharacterized. The transcript is spliced from 2 exons. The record is from RefSeq and is a predicted model, not a curated record. NCBI's taxonomy places the organism in Eukaryota, Metazoa, Chordata, Actinopteri, Perciformes, Percidae.
AUCAGUCAAAUAGAUGAAAGCACAAAGGGGAGAAAAAUCAAAGUUGGAAACUGUCAAAUACAAUCAACAGACAAGGCUGGUGCAGUAAAGCCACUGUAAGACUGUGUGUCAAGUCAAAUUACAGUAUUGGAUUUUUCCAAAUAAAACUAGUUCUAUGAAAUUUAAACUUGUGAAAUGUGAAAAUGCAGCACCUGACAGGAUCCUCUAAAGGAAUUACAAAUUCCACACUUUUUUGUUUUAUCCAGUAUGGAUCAUGAUCUAAAAUGAGUUAUACUACAACAAAUACAGGAUAACAGUAUAGUUUCAAUCAACUAUUAAAAAAUAAAUAUGAAUUAAUAAAGUUUUUCCCAACAGGUAAAAGAAGAAAAUCAAGCAUCAGAAAGAUGAAGAUAAUAAAGAGCAUUAGAGCUGAAACAAUUAGUUGAUUGGUUGAUGGAUAAAAAGAAAUAGCAUUUUAACUAUGA